CCGGGGGCCCCAGGAGGGCAUGGGGGCUCCAGGGUGCAGGGACAGCACGUUCCCUCACCAACUCCCCAAGAACGCCCAACCUCCAAGAGCAGACACAGCGCCUACACCUGCCGGUACGGGGCUCCAACCCCACUCUCUCAGAUACGUCCUCCAGAGUCGUCUCAUCCACCCCACCCUGGGGAGGAGGGAAACUGAGGCAUGGCAAGAGACAAGACUAACACAGGCAUCAGUGAGACUCAGCCCCUCCUGCCCCUUCCUCCAUGCCCCUCCUACCCCGACUUCAGCUCCCACACCAAGGCCCCAAGCCUGACAUAGGGCCCCAGGUGCCAGGCCUCAAGGGGGCUGAAGGGAGCCCAUCUGCCCCACCGAGGGCACAGACAGUGCCAGGUCUUUGCUGAAAUGUCACCUCUUCCUUGAGGCCUUCUCUGAUUGCUGAGUAAGCCCUGUCCCCGCUCCCUGCUCCCCGUAUCCGCCCGCCUCGGCCCUCCGUCCCUUUUCUCCCUUCUCUGUGGCCUGCCCGCUCUCACAGAAUGCAGACUCCAGGGGUCCAGGGUGUUACCUCCCGGGCAGCAGGAGGAAAUGUCCUGGGCUCCCCACCCAGCGCUCAGCGCCCCCCGCUAAGUACAGCACUCACUCCUUCAUCCAUUCAGCGUGGGCUCUCCCGGCACCAGCACCGCCAGGCCCUGUGCAGGACCCCAGGGUCAUCAGGAAGGAAAUGAGGCAGCCCAAGGAGGCGGGAGACGGGGCCCUACCCAGCACCCAGCCAUCUGCAUUGACACGGCUGCCCGCAGGAUAUCACUGCCCCCAUCCCGGGGCCCACCAUUACCAGCAGGGAGAGGGAGGCAGGUUCAGCAGGGACAGAGCUCAGGGGGAAGGCACCUCCCGUCCUGGUUCAAUACAUGGACCCCUGACCCUGGGAAAGGGACUGAGCCAGGGGAGGCCUCAGGUCACUGCACCAUGAAGUUGUGGGGAGCUGCGGGGGCCUCUGGGCUCCGAGCUGGGCAGGCACAGCGUGGGGACCACGUGCCGAGGGGAAGAAGCGUGCCAGGGUGGACGUCUCAGUGCACACGCAGGAACAUGCAACGGCUGAGCCAGCCCAGAGAGGCAGCGGAGCGUGUGCGGGGCGGCCGGCGGAGGAGCAGCAGGAUCCCAGGCGGGAGCGCACGGCCUUUUCGGAGGCAGGUUCCAGGACAAUACUAAGCGUUUACAUCAUUGCACUAUUUGAUCCAGGAGGUCCCACUGUGGCGUUUCAUCGAUAAACGCACAUGCGAGGUGGAGGGUGGCUGGUGUGGAAUGUGCCCGGCAGCCUUCAUAGCAAAGGAGAAUUCUAGAACCAACCGAAGUGCCCCUCUGAAGGGAGCUGGUCCCGUCCGUUCCAGCCGCCGUGGAGUAACACAGCCAGCAGUUUCCCUCCUGCCACGAAAGCUCGAGACUGAAACUCAGGAUGAACUGUUUUCAGCCCGGGUCACCCCAGCCCUGGGGUGGAGGCCCAUUGAGGAUGGCCGAGCAGGGGCGGGCAUCCAGGCAGGUCCAGCAGUCCUGGCGGGCUGAGGAGAAGGAGGUCAGUGCUCAGGGAGACAUCCGCAGAGGGACCUGGCAGGCAGAGCUCCAGAAGGGAGGGAACUGCACAGACAGAAAGCUCCAGAAGGCUGCCUGAGGGCCUCUGAGGCCUCCGGAGUCAGGCGCCAUGGAUGUGGAAGGUGGACUCUUCAGCAUGGAUGGGACCCUAGGGGGCUGUGGACCCCCGGCCCCUGGGACUCACAGGUGGGAG
Molecule: long non-coding RNA, 1771 nt
Filed under: Homo sapiens (human)
Lineage: Eukaryota; Metazoa; Chordata; Mammalia; Primates; Hominidae
Description: non-protein coding TNFRSF14-AS1:22
Source: RNAcentral